ACGAACGCUGGCGGCGUGCUUAACACAUACAAGUCGAACGGAAAGGCCCUGCUUUUGUGGGGUGCUCGAGUGGCGAACGGGUGAGUAACACGUGAGUAACCUGCCCUUGACUUUGGGAUAACUUCAGGAAACUGGGGCUAAUACCGGAUAGGAGCUCCUGCUGCAUGGUGGGGGUUGGAAAGUUUCGGCGGUUGGGGAUGGACUCGCGGCUUAUCAGCUUGUUGGUGGGGUAGUGGCUUACCAAGGCUUUGACGGGUAGCCGGCCUGAGAGGGUGACCGGCCACAUUGGGACUGAGAUACGGCCCAGACUCCUACGGGAGGCAGCAGUGGGGAAUAUUGCACAAUGGGCGGAAGCCUGAUGCAGCAACGCCGCGUGCGGGAUGACGGCCUUCGGGUUGUAAACCGCUUUCGCCUGUGACGAAGCGUGAGUGACGGUAAUGGGUAAAGAAGCACCGGCUAACUACAUG
Molecule: ribosomal RNA, 467 nt
Filed under: uncultured bacterium
Lineage: Bacteria
Description: partial 16S ribosomal RNA
Rfam family: Bacterial small subunit ribosomal RNA
Source: RNAcentral